This 468-nucleotide ribosomal RNA is filed under the name uncultured bacterium. Its description in RNAcentral is "partial 16S ribosomal RNA". It matches the Rfam family "Bacterial small subunit ribosomal RNA", at positions 28 to 507 of the family's 1533-position model. The record is from RNAcentral.
GACGAACGCUGGCGGCGUGCUUAACACAUGCAAGUCGAACGGAAAGGCCCUGCUUUUGUGGGGUGCUCGAGUGGCGAACGGGUGCGUAACACGUGAGUAACCUGCCCUUGACUUUGGGAUAACUUCAGGAAACUGGGGCUAAUACCGGAUAGGAGCUCCCGCUGCAUGGUGGGGGUUGGAAAGUUUCGGCGGUUGGGGAUGGACUCGCGGCUUAUCAGCUUGUUGGUGGGGUAGUGGCUUACCAAGGCUUUGACGGGUAGGCGGCCUGAGAGGGUGGACGGCCACAUUGGGACUGAGAUACGGACCAGACUGCUACGGGAGGCAACAGUGGGGAGUAUUGCACAGUGGGCGGAAGCCUGAUGCAGAAACGCCGCGUGCGGGAUGACGGCCUUCGGGUUGUGAACCGCUUUCGCCUGUGACGAAGCGUGAGUGACGGUAAUGGAUAAAGAAGCACCGGCUAACUACGUG